This 89-nucleotide unclassified non-coding RNA is filed under the name Pseudomonas cedrina. The record is from RNAcentral. Lineage: Bacteria; Pseudomonadati; Pseudomonadota; Gammaproteobacteria; Pseudomonadales; Pseudomonadaceae.
UGUGGGAGCUGGCUUGCCUGCGAUGACGGUGGCUCAGUCACCACAAUUGUCACUGAUACACCGCCAUCGCAGGCAAGCCAGCUCCCACA